GGCAUCGUAGCCCAACAUGGUAGAGGCGUCUGGCUUAGAACCAGAAGGUUGGGAGUUCGAACCUCCCCGAUGCUA
RNAcentral lists this transfer RNA (75 nucleotides) under Planctomycetaceae bacterium. RNAcentral describes it as "tRNA-Leu". It matches the Rfam family "tRNA". From Rfam's summary of the family: Transfer RNA (tRNA) molecules are approximately 80 nucleotides in length. Their secondary structure includes four short double-helical elements and three loops (D, anti-codon, and T loops). Lineage: Bacteria; Pseudomonadati; Planctomycetota; Planctomycetia; Planctomycetales; Planctomycetaceae. The record is from RNAcentral.